Bombyx mori (domestic silkworm) is the source of this 642-nucleotide long non-coding RNA. RefSeq lists it as uncharacterized. The transcript is spliced from 2 exons. The record is from RefSeq and is a predicted model, not a curated record. Lineage: Eukaryota; Metazoa; Arthropoda; Insecta; Lepidoptera; Bombycidae.
CCGGCAUUAUCUUUAUGAAGACGCACGCGGCGAGCUAUGGGUGGUACUACGCGUUAACUAAACAUGGUAAAGCUGUGAUCCUUACUAUGUACCGAUCAUGUAGUAAACCUUUUUUUUCACAGUAUUUUUUCUACUGAACACGGUGAGGCUUAUGUUCUGUCAUUUUAUUUUUCUUUAAUUUUUGGAACGAAGCUCCUUAUGGACGAUGCGGAGGGGUACUCUGACCGGGAAAAAACGUCUGUAACAUGAUCUUUAUGAAGAGAGCGUCUUCAACGAGGAUGUAUUCUGAAAUAGCAGUAUGGCAUCAUUCCGCCUAUUUCAACUGAAAAGCAAUAAUGUGUUCGGGCUUGAAGGUUACAAUGUCAAAUACUAGAAUAUUAUCAAUUUGCGUGUGACGGAUCCCUUUUGUUUGUUUUAAGUUUAUUUUAUACAAAAGUUUAGGUCUUUUAUUUAUCGAUUGAGGUAUUACGAAGUCUGCCGGGUCAGCUAGUCAGAAAUAUAGGAAAAAGUUGUGGUCAGUAAUGUGCAAUACUUUGAAUGAUUCAUUUGUAAGCAUUUUUUUACAAUUAAUUUGCAUUUUCAUUAAAAAAAAUGGGAGAACUUAACUGCGGACUUUCUUCUAAUAAUAAAUUGUUACCAAAA